GAAAGUAAAUAAGGGCGCAUGGCGGAUGCCUUGGCUCUCGGAGGCGAUGAAGGACGUGAUAAGCUGCGAUAAGCUUCGGGUAGGUGCAAAUGACCUUUGAUCCGAAGAUUUCCGAAUGGGACAACCCGGCAUUCUGAAGGAAUGUCAUCCAACUUGGUUGGAGGCUAACGCAGGGAACUGAAACAUCUUAGUACCUGCAGGAAAAGAAAAUAAAUAAUGAUUCCCCUAGUAGUGGCGAGCGAACGGGGAUUAGCCCAAACCACCCAUGUUACGGCAUGUGUGGGGUUGUAGGACCACGCUCUCGCAAGACAGUUAUUGAGAAGAAACGGCUGGAAAGUCGUGCCAUAGACGGUGAUAGCCCGGUAUUCUAAGGUAACCGAAGCGUAGUGGUAUCCUGAGUAGCGCGGAGCACGAGGAAUUCUGCGUGAAUCAGCCGGGACCAUCCGGUAAGGCUAAAUACUCCCGAGAGACCGAUAGCGAACCAGUACUGUGAAGGAAAGGUGAAAAGCACUUCGAAUAGAAGAGUGAAAUAGUCCCUGAAACCAUGCGCCUACAAGCGGUCGGAGCAGCGUAAGUUGUGACGGCGUGCCUUUUGCAUAAUGAACCUACGAGUUACUUUUUCCGGCAAGGUUAAGCAUCUUGAGAUGUGGAUCCGAAGCGAAAGCGAGUCUGAACAGGGCGGAUAGUCGGAAGGAGUAGACGCGAAACCAAGUGAUCUACCCUUGGGCAGGUUGAAGGUUAGGUAACACUAACUGGAGGACCGAACCGAUAAGCGUUGAAAAGCUUCCGGAUGACCUGAGGGUGGGGGUGAAAGGCUAAUCAAACUUGGAGAUAGCUCGUACUCCCCGAAAUGCAUUUAGGUGCAGCCUUGAGAGUUACUAAUGUGAGGUAGAGCGACUGAUAAGAUGCGAGGGCUUCACCGCCUAUCAAGUCUUGAUAAACUCCGAAUGCGCAUUAGUUCUAUCUCAGGAGUGAGGGCAUGGGUGCUAAGGUCCAUGUCCUAAAGGAGAAGAAUCCAGACCAUCAGCUAAGGUCCCCAAAUAAACACUAAGUUGAACUAACGAAGUCAGAUUGCUAAGACAGCUAGGAUGUUGGCUUGGAAGCAGCCAUUCAUUUAAAGAGUGCGUAACAGCUCACUAGUCGAGGAGUUUGGCGUGGAUAAUAAUCGGGCAUAAGUGUUUUACCGAAGCUAUGGGAUCCUAACGGAUCGGUAGGGGAGCAUUCCACUCUGCGUUGAAGGCUAAGCGUGAGCUUUACUGGAGCGUGUGGAAAAGCAAAUGUAGGUAUAAGUAACGAUAAAGGGGGUGAGAAACCCCCUCGCCGCAAGACUAAGGUUUCCUGAUCAACGCUAAUCGGAUCAGGGUUAGUCGGGUCCUAAGGCUCAGCCGAACGGUGAGGCCGAUGGCAGAACAGGUUAAUAUUCCUGUACUACCUGUAGGAGUGAUGUGGAGACGGAGGAGUGACAACGCCGCGGACUGACGGAAUAGUCCGUUAAAGGGUGUAGAUGUUGAUUAUCCCAGGCAAAUCCGGGAUAAGAGUCGAACCUGACAGUAUACCAAUUUCCCCGGAAAACGGUAAUAGUGCGUGUAAACAUACUCCCAAGAAAAUCCGCUAAACUUAAUCUUACAGGUACCCGUACCGUAAACGGACACACGUAGUCGGGUUGAAUAUACUCAGGCGCUUGAGUGAAUCACGGUUAAGGAACUAGGCAAAUUGACCCUGUAACUUCGGGAUAAAGGGUCCCUACCCGGUGACGGGAGGGCGCAGAGAAUAGGUCCAGGCAACUGUUUAACAAAAACACAGGGCUGUGCAAAAUUGAAAGAUCACGUAUACAGCCUGACACCUGCCCGGUGCUGGAAGGUUAAGAGGAGAUGUCAUCGCAAGAGAAGCAUUGAAUUGAAGCCCCAGUAAACGGCGGCCGUAACUAUAACGGUCCUAAGGUAGCGAAAUUCCUUGUC
RNAcentral lists this ribosomal RNA (1958 nucleotides) under human gut metagenome. Its description in RNAcentral is "bacterial LSU rRNA". It matches the Rfam family "Bacterial large subunit ribosomal RNA", at positions 1 to 1973 of the family's 2925-position model. The record is from RNAcentral.